UACGAGGGGGGCAAGCGUUGUUCGGAAUUAUUGGGCGUAAAGGGAGCGUAGGCGGUUCGGUAAGUCACUUGUGAAAUCUCUGGGCUCAACUCAGAGUCUGCAAGCGAAACUGCCGGGCUGGAGUAUGGGAGAGGUGAGUGGAAUUCCUGGUGUAGCGGUGAAAUGCGUAGAUAUCAGGAGGAACACCUGUGGCGAAAGCGGCUCACUGGACCAUUACUGACGCUGAUGCUCGAAAGCUAGGGGAGCAAACAGG
This 253-nucleotide ribosomal RNA is filed under the name uncultured bacterium. RNAcentral's name for it is "partial 16S ribosomal RNA". It matches the Rfam family "Bacterial small subunit ribosomal RNA", at positions 524 to 776 of the family's 1533-position model. The record is from RNAcentral.